This 468-nucleotide ribosomal RNA is filed under the name uncultured bacterium. Its description in RNAcentral is "partial 16S ribosomal RNA". It matches the Rfam family "Bacterial small subunit ribosomal RNA", at positions 28 to 507 of the family's 1533-position model. The record is from RNAcentral.
GACGAACGCUGGCGGCGUGCUUAACACAUGCAAGUCGAACGGAAAGGCCCUGCUCUUGUGGGGUGCUCGAGUGGCGAACAGGUGUGUAUCACGUGAGUAACCUGCCCUUUACUUUGGGAUAACUUCAGGAAACUGGGGCUAAUACCGGAUAUGAGCUCCUGCUGCAUGGUGGGUGUUGGAAAGUUGCGGCGGUUGGGGAUGGACUCGCGGCUUAUCAGCUUGUUGGUGGGGUAGUGGCUUACCAAGGCGUUGACGGGUAGCCGGCCUGAGAGGGUGACCGGCCACAUUGGGACUGAGAUACGGCCCAGACUGCUACGGGAGGCAGGAGUGGGGAAUAGUGCACAAUGGGCGGAAGCCGGAUGGAGCAACGCCGCGUGCGGGAUGACGGCCUUUGGGUUGGAAACCGCUUUCGCCUGGGACGAAGCGUGAGUGACGGUAAUGGGUAAAGAAGCACCGGCUAACUACGUG